ACGAACGCUGGCGGCAUGCCUAACACAUGCAAGUCGAACGAGACCUUCGGGUCUAGUGGCGCACGGGUGCGUAACGCGUGGGAACCUGCCCUUAGGUUCGGAAUAACUCCCCGGAAGGGGUGCUAAUACCGGAUAAUGUCUUCGGACCAAAGAUUUAUCGCCUUUGGAUGGGCCCGCGUUGGAUUAGCUAGUUGGUAGGGUAAAAGCCUACCAAGGCGACGAUCCAUAGCUGGUCUGAGAGGAUGAUCAGCCACACUGGGACUGAGACACGGCCCAGACUCCUACGGGAGGCAGCAGUGGGGAAUAUUGGACAAUGGGCGAAAGCCUGAUCCAGCAAUGCCGCGUGAGUGAUGAAGGCCUUAGGGUUGUAAAGCUCUUUUACCCGGGAUGAUAAUGACAGUACCGGGAGAAUAAGCUCCGGCUAACUCCGU
This 431-nucleotide ribosomal RNA is filed under the name uncultured bacterium. RNAcentral's name for it is "partial 16S ribosomal RNA". It matches the Rfam family "Bacterial small subunit ribosomal RNA", at positions 29 to 506 of the family's 1533-position model. The record is from RNAcentral.